UCACCGAGAACACCAAGGACCCCAAGAUCACCUGUCAAACAUGGAUCCAACAAAGGUAGUCCAAUAAAGCAUGAGCGGCACUCGCAUACUGGAAGAGAUGGUCGACCAAAAAAAGGUAUAACUUCUCGUUUUUGUUUUGAUCAGACUAUGUCCUUAUUUUUUAUACAUGAUUGUUUGAUUCACUUGCUUUCUUAUGUUUCUUGUCUAGAUAAAGUAAUCUAUGGUGGCCAAGCCUGGCUAUGGACAUGCCCAUGAGUUAUUUGGUUAUGUUUUAUGUGAAAAAUGUGUUUUAUGUGAAAAAAGUGUUUUAAGAGUUCCAUAGAUGUAAUUCUUCUUUUUAGGCAGGCGUGCGCUUACUUCAUGGCUUUAAUGAAUUUCUUCUUGAAAUUAAUGGAUGUUUUGAAAUGUGAAAACUUAUUUGGUGGAGUCCAGUCACUAUUUUUGAGUUAUAGCUUGCAGAGCCGACUCAGGACCUGUGUGAUCGGCUAGGACCGGAUCUUGGUCAGGCUCGAGCCAGUAACUUGGAACUCGUCGCACCCUUUUUUGGCCCUCCUUUGUCAAUUUUUCGUUGAGUUGACCAACUCUUGUUCAGACUUGGGGUCGGGAUUCCAUGAAGUCCCUAGUGGAGUCUGGUUUCCUAAACACUGAGUUAUAUAUUACGUGAUUUAAUACUGUUUUAAUGUUAAAAUUAUCGUGUGUUUCCAAGUUUAUAGGAUUACUAAGCUGAUAACAAGUUAGGAAACAUCUAUCUAUAACCACCACAUACAAGUAAACUUAAUACAAGUUGAUUUCUAUUAAAUAAAGGAAAAUCAAGAUGCUUGGGCGAAUUCAGGAAAAAAUUAAAAUGCCCACUAGCACCUGCACUGCUGUAGUCCAACAAAGAAAGAUCUCCCUGGAAGAUUGAAGAAAUUCGUUAUUACAUUUGAUGAUUUCAAACUGUUUAUUUUAGGCAUAUACAACCAUCUUCCACUUGUCCCUGCAACUAUGCACAUUUUACAUUGAUACAUAAUUCAUGUGAUGUUGUGUUUACAAAAAUGCAUCUUUUAGAUUUACAGAGAACUUAAAAAAAAAGAAAGAAAGAAAGAAAAAGUAUAUCACUAGGAGGGUUUUCAGUCCUAUGACCCUAAUAGUUUGGAGAUCUCAACCCGGCGCUUUGAUUUGCAAGUUAAAGUCCUUUGUUACCUAUCAAAAAGGGAAAUCGGUUACAAUUACCGACGAAGUCCCAGCCCAUAUCUGGAUUUUCAUUUGUUCUUGUAUUAGUAACUGUAACUCAUAAUCAGAGAUCAUAGACUAUUGGUUAUGUUGAAAUUUUGUUAAUUUUCCAUGACUCUACAACCGUCUUUCAUCCUCGGAGAGAUGAUCGAAAAGGAAUCGAAACUUGGGCCAAAGAGAUUUGGAAAAACCAGAACUCCAGUGCAAACAACUCUCCAAUGGCUCUUUCCUAUUCUCAUUCCCCUCAGAAGGAGCUAUUCUCGCCCUGAGAACCACUCGCAACUUUUGGUUUCGAGGGACCUCAGUUCAUUUGUCCAGGUUGACCGCUAACUUGGGGGCCUUUGACCGGCAAAAGGUUUGGCUCACGGUCUCCUUUGAGCCAAACCUCUAUCCCUCUACACGCUUGGUGCCUUGACACCUUCAAGGCCAUUGGUAACUCUUGUGGGUUCUUUGCGGUUGUUCAUUAGAAGUCCAUGAAAAAUCUGCCUCUAGGCACUCUACUGCUCAUCGUUGACAUGCUUGAACCGAAUCACAAUCCUCCAUUCCGUUGCUGGAAUUCGCGUGAGCUUACUUCCAGGUCCUCCUUUCCUGGCCUUCUGGCUCACCGCCCGCUCUUAGGUUCAUCGCUUCGGGAAACAAUUCAAGACUGUCAACUACUCCCAUUAAUCAGGAGCAGUGGAAGCAUGUUGUCAAGAGAAGGCCAAGACGCGUACAGAGCCGAUGAAACAAUCGCCACCCCCUCCCAAAGGCUACCCACCUGCGCGCCACCCAGGUCUGCCUCCUCCACCCCACCACCCCCUCCCACACUACCAUCUCGCACCAUCCAAGGAGUCUCGCACUGUCCAAGGAGAUGUAGUGCCGAUUCCUUGAGCACGAGAACCCAUGCCCCUCGUUCCACUUACCUCGAUCAAUAUCGCUUACGCUGAUGCACUUCCCUUUGUCGGCUAGAGACACUCAACACCUGUCCCCCUCACUCACCUACCACCGCCACAUGUCAACAUACUUCGUCCUUCUAUCUCUCCUUCUCCCCUUCCCCCAAUACUCUUCAGGACAAUUCCCUUCUCCCUGUACUUCAACGCACCAUCCCACCCUCGCUCUCUGCCCAUGCCACCAGUCCUCGUGUCUUCUCAACACAAGCCACACCUACCUACACAGCCCAGCCUCGACAUUCCCACUUCAUCAUGCAUUUCCCCUGGCCUACCUCGGAGGUUACCCCACCGCAACAGCCACCCAACUUGCUUGAUCUUUUCCUCUCAUCUUGUUUUGCUGGACCCGGCCUUCGUCUCCAUCAUCAUCUUUGCUCAUAGAUUUCCUGGAAGAGGUAGAAGCAUCACCUGAAGGAGACACAACACCAUCUCCUUCCCCAUAGAAGGUGGACACUACACUGGCGGACAUAGAGGGUAUCCUGGUUGCUAAUUUAAUCUCAGCCCCCCAGGUUAUUAUAAGCUACACUGCAGAUCCCCUCAAUGAUGACCCUAUUAUCAUCUCUGUCCCCAUCCCUGCUGGCCUGCCUCCGCCCAACUUUAUCCUCCUCUCUCCACCACCUCCUCUUUCACAGAAUGCACCCUCACCCGUUAUCCUCUUGGGAUCUCCUUUUCUCACCCCUGCUUUUCCCCUACCCCCUUUUCUCACCACCCCAGUAAGCCCCUCUUCAUUUCUUCACCCUACUGAUGCCAUUGACACCAUUUGUCCCCCCUUUCUGCCACUCCUACCUUCGAUGCCAUUGACACCAUUUGUCCCCCCUUUCUGCCACUCCUACCUUCGAUGCCAUUGACACCAUUUGUCCCCCUUUCUGCCACUCCUACCUUCGCUCCUUCACCACCUGCCGCAUUGUUUAUCCCUGGGAAUACCCCUCCUCCAGCAGGCCCUUGCCCCAACCCUACUUUCUCUCCCUCUCUUGCAUCCCCAUCAACUCCCGACCUUCACAUACCCACACUCAACCCACCCCGGUCUAGUUUGGUUGAAAAAGGAACAACCCUUAUCCUCCCUCAUAUAUACUGGCAGAUUCAUCAAGGCUGAAAUUGCUUGUGGUAUUUUACAGGUUGUCUUCUAUGGGGCUGCCGGGUUUACCUUCUCUUGCAACUGUCUCGGCUUCAUCUUCUCACUCUCUUCUCCUGGGCUGUCGGGUUUACCUUCUCUUGCGAUCGUCUCGGCUUCAUCUUCUCACUCUCUUCUUCUCACUCUCUGCUCCUGUUUGUCGACACAAUAGGGGACCCUCUCUCGCCACUGUCAGUGAACUCAGACUACGUCAACGGCAUUCUGGACGUCAUGAAAGUAAUGGCCUUCCCCCAUUCAGGACAAGAUGCCCAAUUCCAUGAACACUUUUUGGCUGGUGUUCAGUCGCGUUUUUUGGGUAAGCAAGAAAGGAAGCCGAGAACUCACUCUCGUGGUCUUGGCAAGGACCAGAAAAAGUAGAUGCCCAAUUCCAUGAAUACUUCUUGGCUGGUGUUCAGUCGUGUUUUUUGGGUAAGCAAGAAAGGAAGCCGAGAACUUGGCAGUGAGAGAUCCAUGUUUCAAACAAACAGGCCCACAAUUUUGGCCCUCACUGAAACUAAGUCACCCCAUCCUACCCUAUUCCAAGUUAGGCAGGUAUGGGGACGCCAACCUUGUCAGUGGUCUCUUUACUUGCGGAAGGGGCAUCGGGUGGCAUUUGGGUCAUCUGGGACCCCACUGCUCAUUCCCUAACCUCCUCUCACAUUGCGAGUUUUUCGGUGACCUUACUUUUGUUAAGGAUAUCCGAUGGCUUGCUUUGGAAGUUCAUAGCCAUUUACGAGCCCAAUCAAGACUCGCUAAGGCACCGUCUUUGGGAUGAGCUCAACAUCGCUACCUCCCUCCCACACCCCAUUUGGUGCUUAGGAGGGGACCUCAAUGUCACAAGAUGGUCCUUCGAGAGGAAUUCUUCCUCUACGAUCACUCCAGCUAUGUCGGCCUUCUCAAACUUCGUUAGCCUUAACAACCUCCUUGACCUACCCACUGAAGGAUAACAAUAUACGUGGUCCAACCACUCCACCACCCCAUCCCUCUCUAGACUCGACAGGUUUUUGGUCUCUAUAAACUAGGACUCCUCCUUCCACGGGACCCACUCUUUAGCCUUACCCAAGCCCACCUCCAAUCAUUGUCCCCUCCUCCUGGACACCAACCUUGCUUAGAGAGGUGCAAAACCUUUUAGGUUCGAACUUGUUUGGUUGGAAGAACCCACCGUAGCCUCGCUAUUCCCUGUCUAGUGGCAAGAUUUGUCAGCCUUGGUCCAAGGCUAGGCUGGUUUCAGAAUUUAACGCAAACUUCAACUGCUCAAGACUUGCCUCAAAUCUUGGAGUACAAGCUUCCCGAGGUUCCUCGGCCCCCUUAAAAGAGCCACCCUUGAAGCCAUCCAUGCUCUCGACAUCACUGAAGAAUCCAGGAACUUACCAGAAUCAUAAUUCCUUCAAAGAAUCCAAGUAACAACUCUUUACCAAUCCCAACUGAAGCAAGAAGAAAUAUUCUGGCAUCAACGAUCCAGAAUAAAACGGUUGAAUGUUGGGGACCUCAACACAGGCUUCUUCUAGGGAACAGCCAACUGCAGGUGCAAAGAUAACACCAUCUCGCACCUAUUAGUGGAAGAUCACCUUAUAGACCAACCACUUAAUGUCGAACACUACAUCCUAGUCUACUUCAAAAACCUCUUCUCCACUCCGGCAGGGCCCAGAACUCCCAUGGGGGAUCUAUCUUUUUUGGUCUUACCACCUGAAAAAGCCUCCUGCCCCGAAAGACCAUUUUUCGAGCAUGAAAUCUUGUUUGCCCAGUUAGACUCUGACAGAGCUCUAGUGACUGACGGAUACCCCAUUGCCCUAUUCACACAAUAUUGGGAAGUCUUUCGACAUGAGUUUCUAGCCAUGUUCGAAGAAUUCUUUUCCAGGGGAGUUAUCCAUCGAGCGCUGAAUGCCACUUUUAUAACUCUCAUUCCCAAGGUUGAACGAGCAACCCACCUCAAAGACUUCCGACCUAUUCGUCUGGUCAAUUCUACUUAUAGAGUCGUAGCCAAGGCUUUAUGCUCCCUGACUUAAGUCGUAUCCUUGGUAAUCCCCCCCUCCCUCCCCCCUCAAAGUGCAUUAAUUAAAGAUCAUCAAAUCCUUGAUGAUGCUUUGGUGGCUCAUGAAUGCAUUUAUUCUAGACACCUUAAUAGGGAACGCAUAAUUUUCGUAAAGCUUGAUUGGAAGAAAGCUUACGAUCACGUGGAUUGGGACAUCCUUGAAGAAACCCAAUCUAGAAUGGGAUUCGGUUCGAGAUGGAGAUCUUGGAUGAAGGCCUGCUACUCUCAUCCACACUUCUCCAUUCUCGUCAAUGGUUCCCCUAAGAGAUUCUUUCCAUCUACCAGUGGCCUUCGUCAAGGAGACCCCCUCUCCCCUUUUCUCUUUACAAUCUUAGCCAAAGUUUUCAAUCUAUCUAUCUCAAGAAUGUAUUUGGUUGGCCUAUUAUAUAGGUUCAAAGUUGGUCACCAAGGGCUAACAGUCUCACAUCUCCAAUAUGCGGAUGACACCUUGGUUUUUUGCAAUGCUGAUUCAGAAGAUGUGGGAAAUCUAUUAUUGUUUCUUAGAUGUUUUGAGUUUGUAACGGGAUUCAAGGUUAAUUUUGACAAAACCAAAAUGCUGGGAUUAAUAUCGAUUAGAUCUCCCUCAACUCUUUCGCUGACAGUUGGGGAUGUGUGACAGAUACUCUUUUGUAGCCUACCUCUCUGCUUGGGAAAGCCUAAAAAGAGACCUUGGUCUCACAUAAUCGACAAGGUAAACCGUAGGUUAGCCGGAUGGAAAGGUCGAUUCCUCUCUCUGGGAGGCAAACUGGCCCUCAUUAAAGUCGCCCUUGCUAAUAUACCAGUUUACCCAAUGUCCUUCUUCCACAUGCCGGUAGUCGUUAGCGUAAGAUUAGAACAAUUGAUGAGAAGGUUUUUUUGAUAUGGGAAUGCCUCCUCCGACAAAUUUCAUCUUAUAUUCUGGGAUAUACUCUUCCUGUCCAAAAAAUUGGGGGGAUUAGGGAAAUCCUGGGAUAAACUCUUGUCUAUCCAAAAAAUUGGGGGGCUUAGGGAUAAAAAAUCUUAAGAAGCAAAAUGUGGCACUCAUAGGCAAAGGGAGCUAGCGCCUGGCCACCCAAAGGGACCAACUGUGGAACACUAUCCUUCAUCAUAAAUAUCGAAUACCCAUCAUAUCGCGAGUCCUGACUUCAAGCCCAACCAGAGAUCUUCUGGAAUAUGGCGAUCCAUUUGUGCUGCUCACCAUCACUUCCAGUCUCGCAUAAGGUUUUAUCUCAGACAAGGGGAAUCACAUCCUCUUCUGGUAAGACCUUUAGCUUGGACACACUCCCCUCAAGGACAUAUUCGCAGACCUGUAUUCUCUAUCUUGUACACAAUAGGCUAUUGUUGAAGAUGAGAUGGUCCUAGUGGGGUCUUCAAGAUCUUGGAACUGCGUGUUUCGAAGAGCUCUUAAUGACUUGGAAGUUGAACUUCAGGCCAUCAAUCUUGCAAACAGUGGUGCAGACAGAAUCAUUUGGUCCUCCUCAGCCCUCCGGGAGCUUCUCGGUACCCUCAUUCUGUUGUAGUCUUUCACAAGUUUCAACUACUUCUACAACACCUUCCACUUCAAUUUCUCAGGCUUGGGUCUCCAUACCCCCCCCCCCAAAAAGUCUAGAUUUUUAUGUUGCUAGCACUCUAUCAAAAAGUGCUAACAGAUAAUCAAAUAUAGCGCAGGGGCAUUCCACUCCCCAACCGAUGUCUCUUGUGUAUGGCUGCCGAAGAAACAAAUGGCCACCUACUAAAUUGUCCCUUUGCUCAUAAUCUCUGAGGGGGCAUUCUCCAACUUUUUGACAUUCAAUGGGUCACACUUGAGCAUGUCCCAUCCAUUCUAUCAUAUGUUCAGCCCUUUCCUUGGCGUCUAUCAUAUGUUCAGCCCUUUCCUUGGCUUUAACCUAGGUUUCUCCUUUGGAAAUCCACGGUGGCAGCUACCAUUUGGGCUCUAUUGAUCGAGAGAAACAAUAGAGUAUUUAGGGGUGAAUACUCCACGUGAAACAAAAUUUUCACUAAGCUAAAAUCCACAAUUGUCUUUUGGGCAACAAACCAACACGGUUUUAAAGGAGUCACCACUAUGGCUUUCUUUCAGGAUUGGUUUGCAAUCCUAAAACACAAUUGCAAAUGACCAGCUCAUGCUUCUUGUUGGAUUCCCCCAUUGCCAUACCAUUCAAACUGAACUUCGAUGGAUGCUCCCUUGGGAAUCCAGGUCCUUCGAAAGUGGGAGCCAUAGUAAGAGACUAUUUAGGUAACACAGUAGCUUCGUCUUCCAGUUACAUCGGGCACACCAAUUCGGUGGUAGCCGAGGCCCACGCCCUCUUGGAAGGACUAAAGCUACUUCAAACUCUAAGCCCACACGCAAUUGUGAUAGAGGGCGAUUCACAAAAUACUAUUAUGUGGGCCCAAAGAAUACCCUCUUCACCUCCAACCUGGACCCAAGCACACAUCUUUGAUCACAUUCAUUACUUGUGUAGGGGUAUGGACGUCUCAUGGAAGCAUACCUGGAGGGCAGGAAGCAGACGCCCUAGGUAAAGAAGCGGCUUUGCGAGAGGAAUUUUAGCAAUCUACGUGUUUCCCUAGCUGGGAAUUUUGGACCACUUUCUUUUAUUAGUUGCGGUUUGAACACUGUUACCAUCUUCUAGAAGGAUUUUGGUCUUCUUUUUUGGUUCUCUUUCCCUAGAGCACCCAACUCUGUGGUCUGCCUAGGUUUUUGUACUCUUCCUUUCACUCAAUUUAAGGCUAACUUUCUAAACAAACUUUCAACAUUAUGUUUUAUUGACGUUCCUUGUAAAGAUUUAUGAGAAAUUUAUCAAAACUCCCAUAAUAGAUUAACUAUUUAACAUUUUAACCUUUUGCAACUGUUCCAUGUCAUGAUCAUGUGGCUUUUGAUGGUAUUUUGUAAUUAAAUCAAAACACGUGCAAAAUAUAAAUAGUUUGCAUCUCAUGGUUACUUUGAUAAUUUUCCAAACAUUUACUGAUAAAAGAUCGAAUUGAUUAGUAGAUACAUGGUAUUAAAUGCAAUGACAUAUUUUGCUUGCAGGUGGCUCAGGUGGUAAAGGCAUAUGGGGAGGUUUAUUGGAGAUUGAUGAUGAUCAUGUCCUCGAUCGAAAUGAUCCAAACUAUAAUAGCAGUGAGGUAGUCACGAAAGCAUUCAUACCUCUCAUUUGCUACUGCAUUAAUUCGUGUAUGAUAGGCAUAGUAGUUGGUAGACAUUUUUAACUUCUAAAGUACCUGUCCUGUUGAUUUGUCUAUUGCAAGCAAAUGUUGCAGGUUAAAAGCAGGUUCAUGUCUGUUCAAUUUGUUUAAACUUCUUCACUUUAACAAAACCUUCCUUUUUUAUUUCAGGAAAAUAGCCAACCCAAUGGGAUUAAAAAACAUUCCCCUGCUUUCGAAGAGUUCAGAGCAAAAACCAGACUGAUUAUUGAGGAAUACUUCAUCACUGAUGAUAUUUCCUCGUCUGCCAAUGAACUAAGAGACCUCGGCCUUCCAUGCUAUCACUACUAUUUUGUCAAGAACCUCGUCUCCAUGGCUAUGGAUAGGCACAAUAGAGAGAAGGAAAUGGCAGCUCUCCUCUUAUCCUCUCUCUAUGCCGAUGUUAUUGAAGCACCCCAAGUUUAUCGAGGCUUUGGAAAACUAGUCAAAGCCACUGAUGACUUAGCAGUAGACAUACCUGAUGCUAUAGAUAUCCUCGCUCUCUUCAUUGCUCGAGCUGUUGUUGAUGAUAUUCUCCCUCCUGCCUUCUUGAACAAACAAGUUACCACUCUCCCGAAAGACUCGAAAGGAAUUCAAGUAAUAAAGAGAGCUGAGAAGAACUACUUAUCGGCCCCUCUUCAUGCUGAAGUUAUUGAAAGGAGGUGGGGAGGAAGCAAAAGCAAGACAGUAGAGGAUGCUAAGUCUAAAAUAAACGAUCUUCUUGUUGAGUACAUAGCAAGUGGUGAUAAGGUAGAGGCAUGUAGAUGCAUUAAAGACCUUAAAAUGCCAUUUUUCCAUCAUGAAAUUGUUAAAAGGGCUUUAAUCUUAGCGAUGGAAAGGAGAACAGCAGAGUGUGCUUUGCUAGAUUUAUUAAAGGAGGCCUCUGAAGAGGGAGUGAUAAACUCUAGUCAAGUAUUGAAAGGGUUUGAGCGGCUUAUCGAUACGGUAGAUGACUUAUCACUUGAUAUUCUUAGUGCAAGGGAUAUGCUUCAAUUACUUAUUUCCAAGGCAGCCUCAGAGGGGUGGCUCUGUGCAUCUUUGCUGAAGUCUCUCUCUCCUCGACCAAAUGGGUUUCUCGAAGAAGGCGAUGCAAGGGCCUUCAAGUCAAAGGCAAACUUGAUAAUUCAAGAGUAUUUCUUGUCAGGAGAUGUGGCCGAAGUGGCUGAGAGGCUCGAAUCCGAGAACCUCCUCUCCCCUUGCUUUAAGGUCAUAUUUGUAAAGAGGUUGAUUUCACUGGCAAUGGAUAGAAAGAAUAGAGAAAAGGAGAUGGCCUCAGUAUUAUUAUCUUCGCUAAAUUUUCCUUCAGACGAUGUGGUAAAUGGCUUUGUCAAUCUGAUUGAGGCGGCCGAGGACACCUCAUUGGACAUCCCAAUUGUGGUCGAGGAUUUGGCACUAUUUUUAGCGAGAGCAAUGGUAGACGAGGCCAUAGCUCCGCUAAAUUUAGAGGAGAUUGAGUCACAAGUGAAGCCCAACUCGAUUGGGUCUAAAGUUAUUCGAAUGACUCGAGCCAUGCUUGGGGCGCGGCUCUCAGGUGAGAGAAUAUUAAGGUGUUGGGGUGGAGAUGGUAGUGGAAGCAAUGGUCGAGAUAUAGAAGAAGUCAAGGGGAAAAUUGGGAAACUACUCGAGGAAUAUGAUUCGGGAGGAGGCGUAGGCGAGGCUUGUCGAUGCAUAAGAGAAGUAGGUAUGCCAUUUUUUCACCACGAAGUGGUGAAAAAGUCGUUGGUUAUGGCAAUGGAGAGGAAGAGUGAGAGACCAUUGAGGUUGCUUGAAGAGUGCUUUGCAGUGGGGUUGAUAUCGAGUUAUCAGAUGGCGAAGGGGUUUGCAAGAGUGGCUGAGGGCCUUGAGGAUUUGGCAUUGGAUGUGCCCGAUGUGGGCCAUGAGUUUGCGAGUUGCGUAGAGAGGGCCAAGGCUGCCGGGUGGUUGAACUAGUCAUUUGGGGUCGACCGUGACGACCCCAAUGGGCCUUGUGUCCCAGCAUAGAGAGAGCAGAGCAUGUUGCUGUGCCUAUGCAGCAACAGGCUUUGCUCAUGGGAGUUCAUGACCAAUUUCAUGGAUAUGGUUCUUAUUAGGUCUCUUAUCUUUUGCACUUUUUCUCUUUUUCUCCUCCUUGGGCCUUAGUUCUUUUCUAUUUUUAUUUAUUUAUUUUAACCACGAGGAGAAAACAAUCUCAAGGGUGAUGACACUGAUGAGCAAUGUACUAUUUAUAUCCACUUGGGCCAAAGUUUGGUGCUGUUCUUAUGAUUAAUUGCUCCCUAGAUGUUAAAUGGUGGGAGUCUUUUUGUUGUUUUUGGUGUAUUUUAUUGGGAUUAAUUUCAAUACUCUUGUAUUGAGAGAGUACAUGGGCCGAAAGCAGUUUAACUGGCUUAAUUGGUACACUACAGACUGAUUCAACUGUUCAACCUGACAAAUUCCGGAGGGUCAAAAAAUUGUUAAAAAAAUAAAAAGAUGUAAAUUCUAAUAAAAUAUAAAAACAUAUAAAAAAUGAUUAAAACAAAACACAUUCAAAUGAAAUUGAAAAUUAAUGAAAAAAAUAGAUUUUAAAAAUGAAUAUUAAUGAUCAAAAUAUUUACCAUAAUAUAAAAUAUAUUAAAAAAUAUAUUACAAAUCAAAUUCUUUAUUUUUUUUAAGCUCAACUUCUUUUAGAGAGCUCAAAUUCUUUUAGAGCUGUUGUGUGUAUGAGAGAGAACCACGGUAAUGAUGAGGUAGAGAGAGCAAUGUUUAAAAAAACUAUCUAAUGCUUGCCUAGGCGGCCUGAACCAAAAAUCUGCCAACCUAAAUUGGCACGGGCGGAGUACAUGGGCGGGCGCUACACGUGCGCCCGCCCGCCCACUCUGCGGGCCUAGAGAGCAGCUGCAUUAGACUGAAGACCUCAUCAAUUUUGAAAUCAUAUCAGGCAAAUAAGUGAGGCCAAUAGCAAUUGAUGUGAAUAACCAGGGGGUAAAAUAUCUUACCAGUUAGGCUAAUCACUCGUGAUAGAGAUUAAGGCUUUCACUUGUGAGCUAAGAAAAGCACAUGCAUUGCAUUGGCCUCAUAGCAUAUUUUCGUGAGAAAACGGUCUUAACAGAAGGCUUUUCAGAUUGCCCGCUUUUGCUGCUUCGUGAAUUUUUUUAGCACUCAUGAUCUCAGAAUUAUGAUCGACCAAACUGUUACCUUUCUCACCAUAGCUUCAUCAUCUGGGCUGAAGGUUUUGGAAUAUUUCAUUAGAAUUUGGGGUAUUCUGAUGAAGCAUUUAGGGUUUUGGGGGGGCCUUUGUGAUCACUGGUUAAAGACAUGGUUGAGGAGAAUGGCAGUAAGAAAAUUAACCCAAGUGAAAAAGUAGUCUUUGCAACGAGACCCAAACCCUGCCUCGAGAAAAAAAAAUUGCAAAACAAACGCUCUCGUACACCAAGUCAAAUAAAACCUCAAGAAAAAAAUUGCAAAUUUGUUUUUUUCCAUUUCUAAAAAAUUGUCUCUUUACAAAAACAACCCUAAUUUCCAAACUUCAAUAAAAAGCAGGUUUCUUAUUGAAAACUAGAAUACUAAGAAGCUUGAGUUAUCUUCAAAAAUUAGGGUGUUUGAAAUAGAAAACAACUGACCCAUUUGAAUCUUCAAAAAUUAGGGUGUGGGUGUUUGAAAUAGAAAACAACUGACCCAAUAGAAUAUAAAGAUAUUCAGAUCAGAACUCUGAAAUUUAAGAAGAAGAAUAUGAUGAUUUUUGAGAAAUUCGUACCUUUUCUGUUUCAAAUAGGAACGGUGAGAGAGAAAUGCGAGUAUAGCUGGCAGAAAAUUUGGGGGUUUCCAUGCUUUUCUUUCCCUCUAUAACCGUUGAAAAGACAUGACAGAGACGCGUCAGUUAGGGUUUUUCUUCUCUCCCCUUUCAGCCUUCUGGAGCAAGUCUUAGAAGCCCAAUUUUAGGAUGCAAUAUCAGCCUUUUCUCAGCACAAAUUUCAUUGAUGUAUAUACUCAUGCCAAUGUUUUGAAAUUCGGAUGAUCAGUCCCUACUUGAAUUGAUAGAAAUCCCCAAUAUAGUCACAUUUAACUGAUUCAUAGGCGUGAAAAAUCCACAUUAAAUUGAAAAAAAAAUUAUCAAA
Molecule: long non-coding RNA, 12507 nt
Filed under: Amborella trichopoda
Lineage: Eukaryota; Viridiplantae; Streptophyta; Magnoliopsida; Amborellales; Amborellaceae
Description: long non-coding RNA (ATRI_LNC002366)
Source: RNAcentral